RNAcentral lists this ribosomal RNA (579 nucleotides) under uncultured Glomus. RNAcentral's name for it is "eukaryotic LSU rRNA". It matches the Rfam family "Eukaryotic large subunit ribosomal RNA", at positions 204 to 633 of the family's 3401-position model. The record is from RNAcentral. Lineage: Eukaryota; Fungi; Glomeromycota; Glomeromycetes; Glomerales; Glomeraceae.
CAUGGAGGGUGAGAAUCCCGUCCGGCCAACUUUUGGCGCUUUACGAUACACUUUCAAAGAGUCGAGUUGUUUGGGAUUGCAGCUCAAAAUGGGAGGUAAAUUUCUCCUAAGGCUAAAUAUUGGCGAGAGACCGAUAGCGAACAAGUACCGUGAGGGAAAGAUGAAAAGAACUUUGAAAAGAGAGUUAAAUAGUACGUGAAAUUGUUGAAAGGGAAACGAUUGAAGUCAGUCGUACCGACGAUAAAUCAGCUCCUCGAGUGCGGACUUGUGGGCGUGCGUGAGCUUUAAAACCUCGCUGUUUGCAACGUUUGUACUUUUUGGGUGUACUUUUUCGUAUGGUAGGCCAACGUCAGUUUCGAUUACCAUAAAAUGACCGGAGGAAUGUAGCUUCGAUCUCGUAUUGAAGUGUUAUAGCCCCUGGUAGAUGUGGUGACUGAAACUGAGGAUUGCAACGAAUACCCUUUGGGCUAUCCGUCUGAUCUCUGAAAGUUGCUUAGGUGCCGAAAGCGUGCUUACGGUUAUUUAAGUUGACGGUCAAUAGGUUAGAACGUGAUUACAUUCGUUAAGGAUGUUGACGUA